RNAcentral lists this ribosomal RNA (458 nucleotides) under uncultured bacterium. RNAcentral's name for it is "partial 16S ribosomal RNA". It matches the Rfam family "Bacterial small subunit ribosomal RNA", at positions 338 to 795 of the family's 1533-position model. The record is from RNAcentral.
CCUACGGGAGGCAGCAGUGAGGAAUAUUGGUCAAUGGGCGAGAGCCUGAACCAGCCAAGUCGCGUGAGGGAGUACUGCCCUAUGGGUUGUAAACCUCUUUUGUCGGGGAGCAAAAGCCGGACGUGUCCGGCAGUGAGAGUACCCGAAGAAAAAGCAUCGGCUAACUCCGUGCCAGCAGCCGCGGUAAUACGGAGGAUGCGAGCGUUAGCCGGAUUUAUUGGGUUAAAAGGGUGAGCAGGCGGAUUUUUAAGUCAGCGGUAAAAUCGUGGGGCUCAACCCCCUCCAGCCGUUGAAACUGGGGAUCUUGAGUGUGCGAGAGGUAUGCGGAAUGCGUGGUGUAGCGGUGAAAUGCAUAGAUAUCACGCAGAACCCCGAUUGCGAAGGCAGCAUACCGGUGCACAACUGACGCUCAGGCACGAAAGCGUGGGUAUCGAACAGGAUUAGAUACCCUAGUAGUC